This 497-nucleotide ribosomal RNA is filed under the name uncultured bacterium. Its description in RNAcentral is "partial 16S ribosomal RNA". It matches the Rfam family "Bacterial small subunit ribosomal RNA", at positions 28 to 507 of the family's 1533-position model. The record is from RNAcentral.
GACGAACGCUGGCGGCGUGCCUAAUACAUGCAAGUCGAGCGAACAGACGAGGAGCUUGCUCCUCUGUUGUUAGCGGCGGACGGGUGAGUAACACGUGGAUAACCUACCUAUAAGACUGGGAUAACUUCGGGAAACCGGAGCUAAUACCGGAUAACAUGUUGAACCGCAUGGUUCAAGAGUGAAAGACGGUCUUGCUGUCACUUAUAGAUGGAUCCGCGCCGCAUUAGCUAGUUGGUAAGGUAACGGCGUACCAAGGCAACGAUGCGUAGCCGACCUGAGAGGGUGAUCGGCCACCCUGGAACUGAGACACGGUCCAGACUCCUAAGGGAGGCAGCAGUAGGGAAUCUUCCGCAAUGGGCGAAAGCCUGACGGAGCAACGCCGCGUGAGUGAAGAAGGUCUUCGGAUCGUAAAACUCUGUUAUUAGGGAAGAACAAAUGUGUAAGUAACUAUGCACGUCUUGACGGUACCUAAUCAGAAAGCCACGGCUAACUACGUG